Molecule: long non-coding RNA, 541 nt
Filed under: Fukomys damarensis (Damara mole-rat)
Lineage: Eukaryota; Metazoa; Chordata; Mammalia; Rodentia; Bathyergidae
Description: lncRNA (ENSFDAG00000027733.1)
Source: RNAcentral
AUGCCAGCAAUGUCAACUGUGGAAUCAAAGAUGACUGGAAACAACUUUGAGACAACUGACCUGGCUAGGAGACCAUCGCUCUCUCUAAGAUGCCUUGACUUGGAAGGGCGCUUUGUAAGACUUGGUGAUAACCUGAUUAUUUCAGCAUUCAUUUUUCUGAAGCCUCGGGCAAUUCCUUCUCCAACAUGCAUAUUUUUUGGCAUUAGUUUAACAGGUAAUAAUGUCCCUUCAGUGUUUCACAGUACUCAUAGGCACUUCCAAACAUAGCUAAAUGUGGCAGGUUAUUACUAUCUCUAAUUUUUUAGCCAAUAAAGAUGAGUCAAGUUAAAUAUUCUUACCUAAAGCCACACAAGCACCAGACCUUAUGAUUAAGUGCAGAUGUUUUGACUCCAGGGCCUAGAUGCUUCUAUUCCACAUAGCACCAACCAAGAGUAAGCACAUCUUUUAAGGUUUUCUUAUCAUCCUUCCCCUGUUAUCUUCCUCUCUUCCGGAAAGUCACCUCCGCUUCCGAUUGUAUCUUAACGAUAACUUUCAGAGCUGC